This 75-nucleotide transfer RNA is filed under the name Aeromonas hydrophila. RNAcentral's name for it is "tRNA-Thr". It matches the Rfam family "tRNA". From Rfam's summary of the family: Transfer RNA (tRNA) molecules are approximately 80 nucleotides in length. Their secondary structure includes four short double-helical elements and three loops (D, anti-codon, and T loops). The record is from RNAcentral. Lineage: Bacteria; Pseudomonadati; Pseudomonadota; Gammaproteobacteria; Aeromonadales; Aeromonadaceae.
GCUGAUAUGGCCAGUUGGUAGAGCGCAUCCUUGGUAAGGAUGAGGUCCCCAGUUCGACUCUGGGUAUCAGCACCA